GACGAACGCUGGCGGCACGCCUAACACAUGCAAGUCGAACGGAGUUAAUUGGAGCUUGCUUUGAUUAACUUAGUGGCGGACGGGUGAGUAACACGUGAGCAACCUGCCUUUAAGAGAGGAAUAACAGUCUGAAAAGACUGCUAAUACCUCAUAACAUAACGAAGCCGCAUGACUCUGUUAUCAAAGAUUUAUCGCUUAAAGAUGGGCUCGCGUCUGAUUAGCUUGUUGGUGAGGUAACGGCCCACCAAGGCGACGAUCAGUAGCCGUACUGAGAGGUAGAUCGGCCACAUUGGGACUGAGACACGGCCCAGACUCCUACGGGAGGCAGCAGUGGGGUAUAUUGCACAAUGGAGGAAACUCUGAUGCAGCGAUGCCGCGUGAGGGAAGAAGGUUUUCGGAUUGUAAACCUCUGUCUUCAGGGACGAUAAUGACGGUACCUGAGGAGGAAGCUCCGGCUAACUACGUGCCAGCCGCCGCCGUAA
This 482-nucleotide ribosomal RNA is filed under the name uncultured bacterium. RNAcentral describes it as "partial 16S ribosomal RNA". It matches the Rfam family "Bacterial small subunit ribosomal RNA", at positions 28 to 523 of the family's 1533-position model. The record is from RNAcentral.